CCAUUGUAAUAUAUAAAUAAAAUAAAAAACUAUUAGGAUAGGGUUUUCAGUAUUGUCCAAAAACUAAGUCAUUAGGGUUUUCAGUAUUGUCCAAAAAGUAAGCCAUUAGAGCCGACUGAGUCACCGGCGAGUUCGGCGACACGAGAUGGAGAAACCAGAAGCCCAAGCCUACUAUCGGAAGCCAAUCAAGCCGAUCCGUUACAUGUUAAGGGAACAGAGACUCGUCUUCGUUCUUGUCGGCAUUGCAAUCGCCACCGUAUGUUUCACGCUUUUCUCUCCAUCCUCCACCCAACCCAUUCCAAUUUACAACUCGGAUCCGCUUGAGAGGUUGGAGACGAGCUCUGGAAGCAACGAAGGCCAGUUUCUCGGGAAAUCGUGCUUACCGAUGACGGCUAGGGCUUCGCUGAGCUGGCUCUGGAUCCGAGGGGAGGAGGAGAGCAUGAGGGAGACCAUCGGAGAGAAGUCGGAGGGAGCCACCGCGAGCGGAGGUGGUUCUUGAAGUUGACGGCGGCGACGAGACGGAGGACUGCUAAGCCGUAGUUAGGCAGAUCGGCCGCUUCCGAUAGGAAUCUCUCGGCGGCGCGACGAGGUUCGGGGACGGGGGAGAGUGUGUGGAGAAAGCACUGCGAGAGUCUCUGGGGUUAUGAUAAGGAUCGAAUACGAACGAGAAGCUACUGGUAAUGGGAUCGGUGGGAGGAAAGAUCCCUCUGGGUCUGAAACUCAACGUUCUUCGUGUGGUGGUGACCGGUGGGGCCGGUUUGCAUCCAUCCCCUUCAUACGAAACGACGUCGUCGAAGCCAUACCGAGGGGGAUCGAAGGAACUUAAUCAGGACUUAAUCAAGACGUAAUCGCACCAUAUCUCUCUCCGUCUCUUCUAUUUCGUCAGCUGAUGUCGUCUAGUGUGGAGAUUGACCAAGUGAGGGCCACGGUUUUCCGUGACCGUCUGAUAUCUGCGAUGAAGAAGUCUGGUGAAAAAGAUAGUGAUGCGCUAUUUUCUCGCUAUCAGACCUAUUUUGCUGACUUUUUCAGCAAAGAAGAGGUGCAACAUAAAGAGGAAAAUCUCGUUGAAAUUGAGGAUCGGAUUAGCAAGUCAGAAACAGAUCGAAUCUUCAACGCUUUGGUCAGCUCUAUAGACGAUCCCAGUAGAUUGAAAAGUUACGAUAGACACUCGAAAAGAUGUGCAGCAAAGAGAGAAAAAGCAGCAGAGAGAAGAGAAACAGCUGGAGAAACAGCAGUAGAAACAAGAGAAACAGCAGGAAAAACAGGUCAGAAUAUACUGACCGACGAUGAGCUUGUAAAGCUGUUUGAACCAACUGACAAGGAGAAGCCGAAGAAGAAGAAAAAUAAGAAUAAGAAGAAAAAAGAGGAGGAAGGUCCUGUGGGUGCUUCUGCUCAAGCUCAACCUGAUGCGAAGAAGAGCGGCUCUGUGGUGGCAGCUGCUGAACAAGUAAACCAAAAGUAUUCUCCGAUUAAAGUACCCUCUGGUGACUUUUCUCCGAUGAAAGUACCCUCUGCUCAAGCUCAACCUGAUGCGAAGAAGAGCGGCUCCGGGAGAUGUCACCAGAGGGUACUUUAAUCGGAGAAUACAUUUGGUUUACUUGUUCAGCAGCUGUCACCACAGAGCCGCUCUUCUUCGCAUCAGGUUGAGCUUGAGCAGAAGCACCCACAGGACCUUCCUCCUCUUUUUUCUUCUUAUUCUUAUUUGACAUCUCCCGGUACAAGGAGCAUCCCACAGUUCUCUUCUCUCUAUACCAGGCUGACAUCAUUCAGAUUGAUGAGGAAGGGUGGUACUCAAUCACGCCUGAAGUAAUUGCCAAAAAUCAAGCAGAAAAAUGCAAUGGACAAUUGGUUAUAGACGCAUUCUCAGGUUGUGGUGGGAAUAGCAUACAAUUUGCACUAGUCUGUCCAUGUGUGAUAGCCAUAGAUAUCGACAUGAAGAAGAUCGAGAUGGGACAGAACAAUGCAGAGGUUUAUAGGGUAGCUGAUAAAAUUGAAUACGUAUGUGACAGCUUCUUUCGUUUGGCUCCAACACUUAAGGAGAUAUUCUCUUUCUAUCUCCUCCAUGGGGAGGACCCGGAUAUGAAAGGAGUGGGGAUUUCAAACUUAACAUGAUCAAACCCGUAGAAGGGCGCUUACUGUUUGAGACUGCGCUAACCAUCACGAAGAAGAUCAUCAUGUAUUUACCUAAAAAUACUGAUCGAAAUGAGUUGGAAGAACUCACUUAUCUUACCUCGCCUCCUCUAGAUAUCGUGAUUCAAGAAAACAAGAUUGGAAGCAGAAUCAAAGCGAUAACAGUGUACUACAGUGAAAUAAUUGAAGAUAACACUCCUGGAGGAAAAGGCAAAACGAGUUAUUUCAGGCAAAAAAUAGAUGAGGCCGAUUUGCGAGAGGGGGCAAAGUAUAAGCCACCUCAAAGAAGACGUUAGGGAUGUGAGAGAAGAGAGGGCAAUAGGUUGGUGCUUUGGUGCGUGGAAAAUGUCUGUUUCUGUGGGCAUUAGUUUGGGGCUAGUGGAUGGUUGAUUGUGAGAACAUUGUUGCAUGUUGAGAACAUUGUUGCAUGUUGCAUUUCGUUACCAAAAACAUCCUUUACCAAAAACAAAAAGUUCUAUGAGACUAGUAGAUGUAGGGUUUUAGUAAUAAAACCUCAGCUAAUUUUGAAUCGUAUAAAAAUCAAUUAACUA
This is an RNA transcript of Raphanus sativus (radish), 2681 nucleotides long. RefSeq lists it as uncharacterized. The transcript is spliced from 8 exons. NCBI's taxonomy places the organism in Eukaryota, Viridiplantae, Streptophyta, Magnoliopsida, Brassicales, Brassicaceae. The record is from RefSeq and is a predicted model, not a curated record.